UGGGGAAUAUUGCACAAUGGGGGAAACCCUGAUGCAGCGACGCCGCGUGAACGAAGAAGGUAUUCGUAUCGUAAAGUUCUGUCCUAUGGGAAGAUAAUGACAGUACCAUAGAAGAAAGCUCCGGCUAAAUACGUGCCAGCAGCCGCGGUAAUACGUAUGGAGCGAGCGUUGUCCGGAAUCAUUGGGCGUAAAGGGUACGUAGGCGGGUAAGCAAGUUAGAAGUGAAAUCCUGUAGCUCAACUACAGUAAGCUUUUAAAACUGCUCAUCUUGAGAUAUGGAAGGGAAAGUGGAAUUCCUAGUGUAGCGGUGAAAUGCGCAGAUAUUAGGAGGAAUACCGGUGGCGAAGGCGACUUUCUGGCCAUAAUCUGACGCUGAGGUACGAAAGCGUGGGUAGCAAACAGG
Molecule: ribosomal RNA, 403 nt
Filed under: Bacteroidota bacterium
Lineage: Bacteria; Pseudomonadati; Bacteroidota
Description: Bacteroidetes bacterium partial 16S ribosomal RNA
Rfam family: Bacterial small subunit ribosomal RNA
Source: RNAcentral